GAUGAACGCUCGCGAUAGGCUUAACACAUGCAAGUCGAGGGGCAGCAUGGUCUUAGCUUGCUAAGGCUGAUGGCGACCGGCGCACGGGUGCGUAACGCGUAUGCAACUUGCCUCACAGAGGGGGAUAACCCGUCGAAAGACGGACUAAUACCGCGUACACUCUAUGUUGGGCAUCCAAUGUAGAGGAAAUGAAAUUCGCUGUGAGAUAGGCAUGCGUCCCAUUAGCUAGUUGGUGAGGUAACGGCUCACCAAGGCGACGAUGGGUAGGGGAACUGAGAGGUUGAACCCCCACACUGGUACUGAGACACGGACCAGACUCCUACGGGAGGCAGCAGUGAGGAAUAUUGGUCAAUGGGCGAGAGCCUGAACCAGCCAAGUCGCGUGAAGGAUGACUGUCUUAUGGAUUGUAAACUUCUUUUAGACGGGAAUAACAAGAGUCACGUGUGGCUCCCUGCAUGUACCGUAUGAAUAAGCAUCGGCUAACUCCGUG
Molecule: ribosomal RNA, 490 nt
Filed under: uncultured bacterium
Lineage: Bacteria
Description: partial 16S ribosomal RNA
Rfam family: Bacterial small subunit ribosomal RNA
Source: RNAcentral